CCUACGGGCGGCAGCAGUGGGGAAUAUUGCACAAUGGGGGAAACCCUGAUGCAGCGACGUCGCGUGAGUGAAGAAGUAACUCGUUAUGUAAAGCUCCAUUAGCAGGGAAGAAAAUGACGGCACCUGAGUAAGAAGCCCCGGCUAACUACGAGCCAGCAGCCGCGGUAAUACGUAGGGGGCAAGCGUUAUCCGGAAUUACUGGGUGUAAAGGGAGCGUAGACGGCAGUGCAAGUUUGGAGUGAAAGGCGUGGGGUCAACCCCCGGAGUGCUGUGGAAACUGUACGGCUGGAGUGCAGGAGAGGUAAGUGGAAUUCCUAGUGUAGCGGUGAAAUGCGUAGAUAUUAGGAAGAACUCCGAUGGCGAAGGCAGCUUACUGGACUGUAACUGACGUUGAGGCUCGAAAGCGUGGGGAGCGAACAGGAUUAGAUACCCCAGUAGUC
RNAcentral lists this ribosomal RNA (440 nucleotides) under uncultured bacterium. RNAcentral describes it as "partial 16S ribosomal RNA". It matches the Rfam family "Bacterial small subunit ribosomal RNA", at positions 338 to 795 of the family's 1533-position model. The record is from RNAcentral.